This 828-nucleotide ribosomal RNA is filed under the name uncultured archaeon. Its description in RNAcentral is "bacterial SSU rRNA". It matches the Rfam family "Archaeal small subunit ribosomal RNA", at positions 45 to 859 of the family's 1478-position model. The record is from RNAcentral.
UAAGCCAUGCGAGUUGAAUGGGAUNNNAAAUUUCCCAUGGCAAACUGCUCAGUAACACAUGAUCAACUUACCCUAUAGAGAAAAAUAACCUCGGGAAACUGAGGAUAAUAUUUCAUAGUUGAAUAGGCUUGGAAAAGUUCUUCAAUAAAAGGGAUAAAAAAAAUGGUUUUUAUCUGCUAUAGGAUAGGACCGUGGACGAUUAUGGUUGUUGGUGAGGUAACGGCUCACCAAGCCGAUAAUCGAUAGGGGCCGUGAGAGCGGGAGCCCCGAGAUGGGUACUGAGACAACGACCCAGGCCUUACGAGGCGCAGCAGGCGCGGAACCUCCGCAAUACACGAAAGUGUGACGGGGUUACCCAAAGUGUUCAAUUCUGAACUGUGGUAGGUGAGUAAUGUUCCCUACUAGAAAGGAGAGGGCAAGGCUGGUGCCAGCCGCCGCGGUAAAACCAGCUCUUCAAGUGGUCGGGAUAAUUAUUGGGCUUAAAGUGUCCGUAGCCGGUUUAGUAAGUUCCUGGUAAAAUCGGGUAGCUUAACUAUCUGUAUGCUAGGAAUACUGCUAUACUAGAGGGCGGGAGAGGUCUGAGGUACUACAGGGGUAGGGGUGAAAUCUUAUAAUCCUUGUAGGACCACCAGUGGCGAAGGCGUCAGACUGGAACGCGCCUGACGGUGAGGGACGAAAGCCAGGGGAGCGAACCGGAUUAGAUACCCGGGUAGUCCUGGCCGUAAACGAUGCAUACUAGGUGAUGGUACGGCCAUGAGCCGUAUCAGUGCCGUAGGGAAACCGUUAAGUGUGCCGCCUGGGAAGUACGGUCGCAAGGCUAAAACUUAA